RNAcentral lists this ribosomal RNA (497 nucleotides) under uncultured bacterium. Its description in RNAcentral is "partial 16S ribosomal RNA". It matches the Rfam family "Bacterial small subunit ribosomal RNA", at positions 28 to 507 of the family's 1533-position model. The record is from RNAcentral.
GAUGAACGCUGGCGGCGUGCCUAAUACAUGCAAGUCGAGCGAACGGACGAGGAGCUUGCUUCUCUGAUGUUAGCGGCGGACGGGUGUGUAACACGUGUAUAACCUACCUAUAAGACUGGGAUAACUUCGGGAAACCGGAGCUAAUACCGGAUAAUAUUUUGAACCGCAUGGUUCGAAAGUGAGAGACGGUGUUGCUGUCACUUAUCGAUGGAUCCGCGCUGCAUUAGCUAGUUGUUAAGGUAACGGCUUACCAAGGCAACGAUGCAUAGCCGACCGGAGAGGGGGAUCGGCCACACGGGAACUGAGCCACGGUCCAGACUCCUACGGGAGGCAGCAGUAGGGAAUCUGCCGCAAUGGGCGAAAGCCUGACGGAGCAACGCCGCGUGAGUGAUGAAGGUCUUCGGAUCGUAAAACUCUGUUAUUAGGGAAGAACAUAUGUGUAAGUAACUGUGCACAUCUUGACGGUACCUAAUCAGAAAGCCACGGCUAACUACGUG